GUUUACCACGGUUCAAGUUGGGUUUCUGCAGGAUGCUAUGAGAAACAAACCAGAAGCUUCUGUGACCUUUAUUUUACUUGUGUAAUCCUGGGAGCGCUUCCAUUCUGUAUAAGUUUUGGCUGGAGAAAGUCAAUUGCUGUAACCAGUCUCUGGAAUGAGUUUAUUAAUAUUUACAGGCAGAGAGGACUUCCUUAUGAUGGCUGGCAUUAGCGCAUGGUGAUUUGAGAAUAAAGCAUGGGAUACUGCAUGUUCUGAGUGAGUG
Molecule: long non-coding RNA, 262 nt
Filed under: Phasianus colchicus (ring-necked pheasant)
Lineage: Eukaryota; Metazoa; Chordata; Aves; Galliformes; Phasianidae
Description: lncRNA (ENSPCLG00000021397.1)
Source: RNAcentral